This is a non-coding RNA of Paramuricea clavata, 441 nucleotides long. The record is from the annotation of a GenBank genome assembly. NCBI's taxonomy places the organism in Eukaryota, Metazoa, Cnidaria, Anthozoa, Malacalcyonacea, Plexauridae.
AAAAAAAUCUACCAUAUACAUUAUACAUACAAAAAAUAUAAAAAUUUUACUAAUAACCUAAUUUAAGCUUUCAAAAACUGCUAAAAUGUCGUAACAGUAUUUGGCAACCAAGUUCAUAAUUGUCUUAUCUUGAAUAGCCAUAAUAUAUCUAAAAACUAUCUUGUUGAGUGAACAAACAGAAAGAACGAUUUAUUUUACAUAAAUUAUUUAUAAAAAUAUUUCUAAGACUAAUAAAUUUAGAAUUUCUGCAUGACAUUAGAAAGUGGUAUUCAUUUCCAAUCUCAUUUAUGUCACAAUGUUUACAUAGCCUAUCAUUGUAUGGAACAUUGUUAUAUCGACCAGUUUCAACAGGUAAUCUAUGUGCUGAGAUCCUUAGUUUUGUAACAGCUUGACGGUAUUUGAAAUUCUGGACUAAGUAAAGAUACCUUUCACAACCGAAAU